UACGAAGGGGGCUAGCGUUGCUCGGAAUUACUGGGCGUAAAGCGUGCGCAGGCGGUUGUGUAAGACAGAUGUGAAAUCCCCGGGCUCAACCUGGGAACUGCAUUUGUGACUGGCGGGCUAGAGUAUGGCAGAGGGGGGUAGAAUUCCACGUGUAGCAGUGAAAUGCGUAGAGAUGUGGAGGAAUACCGAUGGCGAAGGCAGCCCCCUGGGCCAAUACUGACGCUCAUGCACGAAAGCGUGGGGAGCAAACAGG
This 253-nucleotide ribosomal RNA is filed under the name uncultured bacterium. RNAcentral describes it as "partial 16S ribosomal RNA". It matches the Rfam family "Bacterial small subunit ribosomal RNA", at positions 524 to 776 of the family's 1533-position model. The record is from RNAcentral.